Non-coding RNA from Pelobates cultripes (western spadefoot toad), 3471 nucleotides. The record is from the annotation of a GenBank genome assembly. Lineage: Eukaryota; Metazoa; Chordata; Amphibia; Anura; Pelobatidae.
AGAUAAUGGGUUAAUGAAGGCCGCAGAUUCUUGGUAUCGGGUGGCUCGAGGGAUUAAGAAGGAGGGGUGGAUUGAGGAGGAGAUAGACCUAGAGGGGAAGAAAGUCUUUGUAUAUCAUGAAAAAGGUUGUUUUGUUGAAUCUGUUGAAGGCGUUUCCAGCCCUCCUCCAUAUGAUAAGGCCUGGCCAGAAAGGGGGGUGGCUCAACCAGCCCCUGGAGCCCCCACACAGCCCAUUCAUGUUAACACAUGCUCUCCAGCCCCUGCUGCCUUGUACCCUGUCCUUAAGGCAGACGGUUCAUGUUACUUUCCAGCCCCCUCUCCUUCUCCACUCCAAAUCCCAGUCACACAUUCCCUUCCUGUUUCUUUGCCUCCUCCUCCCUUGCCCAUCUCUGCUGCUACACCCUCUCUUCCAACUCCUGUUGCUUCUGUCCACGCCCAAUUCCUUUCACAUCUCCCUAUAACUUCUGCCCUUUCACUGUCACCAUUUCCUGUUUCUAACACACCCAUCCCUUCCAUGAUGGUAACUUCCCCUACCAACACCCCUGUGGUCGCUUCCUCCCUCCCUUCUGUAUCCUCUUCCAUUCCGGCCCAUCUCAUAACUGCCCCCAGUGUAUCUUUCCCUAUUAUGACUAUUGGAUCCACUGUUCCUGCAGCAUCAGGCUAUCCUCCUGCUGCUACCCCUGCAGCAUCAGGCUAUCCUCCUGCUGCUACCCCUGCAGCAUCAGGCUAUCCUCCUGCUGCUACCCCUGCAGCAUCAGGCUAUCCUCCUGCUGCUACCCCUGCAGCAUCAGGCUAUUAUCCUGCUACCUCCACUGCUACAUCAGUCACUUCUCCCCCUGCCUCACAACUUGAUUCGGUCCACAUUACUCCUACAGUUAGUCACCCUGCGGCCAGUACUACUGUUGGACCGAUUUCAGUUCUUCCUGACAUGGCUUGUGUAUCCAGCCAACAGAUUCCCAUUCCCCCUGCUGAUGGUAGUGUCCAGGGGGUGCAGUCUCCACAGACCCCGACUAAUCUGCCUCACAUUGCCAUAGCAGGUGCUUGCAGUACCCAGCAUGAUCAGGAGGGUGCCCCUUUAAUGUAUGUUACCUUCAACCCGUCCCAAGCUGCAACACUAGUACACUCACUCCCUGACCCUGAGAAACAGCCCAUGCCCUUUUUCCGUCGGAUUGUUCAAAUCCGUAAAACUUACUCUGCAGCAUGGCGUGAUUUGUUUAGUCUGUGUGAAAUUAAGGCAGGGGAUGCUUACUGGCCCAUAAUGGAAAAGAGUUUUGAUGAUGCCCGUCUCACUACAGACACGGAUUAUCAGUCUGGUAUCACAUUUUGUGAACAACUCCGUGCAUGGGCUCAAGAUAAGUUGACUGAUCAGGCUACUUCUAUUGCUGAUAUUGUUCAAGAAAAAUCAGAAACGGUUGAAAGAUUUCAUUCCAGGUUAACUCAAACCUUUUCCGAUCUGGGUUUCAAUACAUGUAAUAAGGCCCACACCCAGAUGCUAUCAGCCGCUUUCGUUGCAGGCCUUAAAGAACCUAUAAGGAAAGGCCUGGUCCUGUCCCGUCCCGAAUUCAGGAUAAUUCCCAUGGAUACUCUCCUCCUGGUCGCUAAAGGCCUGGAGUCGAUCCAAUUGCCCCAGCACAAGAAAUCCACUCCUUUAAUGUUUACAUUACAUGACCCUGCAAUUACACCUGCCCCUGUUGGGUUCCCUGUUACCACACUACCGGGCCCUUUCAUGACUCAGGUUCCAAGACCACAAGGUCGAACUUGUUUUCACUGUAAGCAACUAGGUCAUUUUAAGAAGGAUUGUCCAGGUUUUCCAGCACCUCGGCAGCGCACACAGGCUCUACGGCCACCGUAUCCUGUGGCCGGUUAUCCUCCUACUCAAGCGCUAGGUUAUCCGACACAUGAUUCCAAUUAUGCUAACUAUACUACUUAUUAUCCGGAUGACCGAGCCUCAGCCAAUUAUCUGCCCUCUAAUCGUCCUAUGCCUAGACACCGACGCCCUGCACAGCAUGCUCAACAACCAUACUACCCAACUACACCUACACGUACAUAUCCUGGUCCUGACCAGUCUCAUAUUGAUCUUGUCCAAUAGGUAACAGGCAAACCUGUGUCCAAUGCCCCUGUCAUGGCAGUGUAUACAGGGGCUACAGCUACAGUGGUCCUACCUGUGGAAGGCUGCCCAACCACCUUCUUAGUUGACACAGGCGCAGCCCGUAGCGUACUUAGAGCAUGUGACCUGCCUGACGAUUCCUUUCUCUCUAAUAUAGAUGUUUCCUGUAUAGGUGUAGACGGUACCCCUCGUAGCAACCCAUUAACUAAGCCCUUACGGGUGGGUACUUUCCCUGAUCUCCUUACUCGUUUUGUAGUGUCUCCCUCUUGUCCUCUUAAUUUGUUGGGAGCUGAUGUUCUGUCCCGCUUACAGGCCUCCAUCUCCUUUACUCCAGAUGGCAAGGUUCAGUUAUUGACCCCUCUCUCCAGUGAAGAUACCUCAGCCCUUUGUUCUUUACCCCUCCUACUCCACAUGGAAUCACCCCAUGGAAAUGCAAGGGUCCUAGACAACUCCCCCAGUGCACUUGACAGAGUUCCUGUGCAACUGUGGUCUACUGGUCCCGAUGAUAUUGGACGACUUAAAGUCCCUCCGAUAUUUGUGCAGUUACUCCAAGGAGCAAGUCCGCCCAGAAGACCACAAUAUCCAUUGACACCUGCUCAGGCCCUCUCUAUCUCCAAACAGGUUGAAACUCUGCUGGCUGCGGGUGCACUGAUUAAAUGUGUGUCGCCUUGUAACACUCCUUUGUUUCCAGUUAAGAAAAAGACCGAAAAGGGCGAACCGGACAAGUACAGGAUGGUUCAAGACCUCAGAGCAGUUAAUGAUGUUACCGUCUUGGAAACUCCCAUUGUUCCAAAUCCUCAUACUCUUCUAUCCCAGGUCCCUCCUUCAGCUAAAUUCUUCACGGUGGUGGAUUUGGCCAAUGCCUUCUUCAGCGUGCCUUUGCAUCCCUCUUGUCAAUACCUGUUUGCAUUUACCCAUGACCGCCAACAAUAUACCUGGACAGUCAUGCCCCAGGGAGCACAAAAUUCCCCAAGCCAGUUUGCAAGAGCCAUGGCAUACAUCCUGGAACCAUGGCAGAAAUCUCACACAGAGGUGGUCCUCCUGCAAUACGUGGACGAUCUCCUUCUCUGUGCUGACGAUCUCCCGACUGCAGAAUGUGUCUCUGAAGAUUUCCUCUGUUUCCUGGCCGCCCAAGGUUGUAAAGCAUCUAAGAAGAAAUUGCAGUGGUGCCGACCCUCGGUGAUAUUUUUAGGGCAUUGUCUUUCUCAUGGCACCCGGCACCUUACUAGAGACAGAGUGCGGGGUAUCACAUCACUCUGCCCUCCAUCGGCUCACAAGUCCCUCCAUGCCUUCCUAGGUCUUAUCUCUUACUGUAGAGCCUGGAUUCCUGAAGCCUCUACACUGAUGCAGCCACUCUACGAUGC